RNAcentral lists this ribosomal RNA (101 nucleotides) under uncultured bacterium. RNAcentral describes it as "partial 16S ribosomal RNA". The record is from RNAcentral.
CCUUCGGGUUGUAAAGCUCUUUUGUCAGGGAAGAAACGGUAAGAGCUAAUAUCUUUUGCUAAUGACGGUACCUGAAGAAUAAGCACCGACUAACUACGUGC